ACGGAGGGUGCAAGCGUUAAUCGGAAUUACUGGGCGUAAAGCGCACGUAGGCUGCUUUGUAAGUCAGGGGUGAAAUCCUACGGCUCAACCGUGGAACUGCCUUUGAUACUGCUUAGCUUGAAUCCGGGAGAGGGUGGCGGAAUUCCAGGUGUAGGAGUGAAAUCCGUAGAUAUCUGGCGGAACAUCAGUGGCGAAGGCGGCCACCUGGACCGGUAUUGACGCUGAGGUGCGAAAGCGUGGGGAGCAAACAG
This 251-nucleotide ribosomal RNA is filed under the name uncultured prokaryote. RNAcentral's name for it is "partial 16S ribosomal RNA". It matches the Rfam family "Bacterial small subunit ribosomal RNA", at positions 525 to 775 of the family's 1533-position model. The record is from RNAcentral.